RNAcentral lists this non-coding RNA (30 nucleotides) under Homo sapiens (human). The record is from RNAcentral. Lineage: Eukaryota; Metazoa; Chordata; Mammalia; Primates; Hominidae.
UCCUGGGAUACGCCUUGGAGCCAUGGCUUA